RNAcentral lists this transfer RNA (65 nucleotides) under Megalurothrips usitatus (bean blossom thrips). RNAcentral describes it as "tRNA-Asp". The record is from RNAcentral. Lineage: Eukaryota; Metazoa; Arthropoda; Insecta; Thysanoptera; Thripidae.
GAAAAAGUAAUUAAAUAAUAAUAUUACUUUGUCAAAGUUAAAUUGCUAGACUUUAGCCUUUUUCC